Molecule: long non-coding RNA, 238 nt
Filed under: Marmota monax (woodchuck)
Lineage: Eukaryota; Metazoa; Chordata; Mammalia; Rodentia; Sciuridae
Source: RNAcentral
AGAGUAUCUAUCCGGAACCUGGUCCAUGGAAGCAGAAAACAUGAUCCAGCCUCAACUAACCCAGAUAGCUGUCUUGAACAGUACCUGUGUCGAUCCCGUGACUUUGGGUUAAUUCACUGAUUGGAUAUCUUCUGCUUUUUCCUUUUUUAAGGAAUGGGUGGGAGUGAGCAUUUUUGGUGCAAUGUGUUGCUUCAGUGUUGUACUUUGUUUGUGGCUUCUCUGUCGCCUUAAAACUCGC